AUUGAACGCUGGCGGAAGGCUAACACAUUGCAAGUCGAGCGGAGCGGCGGCGGGGUGAGAAAUGCUUAGGAUGCUGCCUGGUAGUGGGGGUUAACGUCCGGAAAGGGGCCUUAAUACCGCAUAUUACCAGAUGAGCCUAGGCGGGAUUAGCUUGUUGGUGGGGUAAAGGCCUACCAAGGCGACGAUCCGUAACUGGUCUGAGAGGAUGAUCAGUCACACUGGAACUGAGACACGGUCCAGACUCCUACGGGAGGCAGCAGUGGGGAAUAUUGGACAAUGGGCGAAAGCCUGAUCCAGCCAUGCCGCGUGUGUGAAGAAGGUCUUCGGAUUGUAAAGCACUUUAAGUUGGGAGGCGUUACCAACAGAAUAAGCACCGGCUAACUUCGUGCCAGCAGCCGCGGUAAUUC
RNAcentral lists this ribosomal RNA (407 nucleotides) under uncultured bacterium. RNAcentral's name for it is "partial 16S ribosomal RNA". It matches the Rfam family "Bacterial small subunit ribosomal RNA", at positions 30 to 526 of the family's 1533-position model. The record is from RNAcentral.